GGCGGGGAGCAAUCCCCAGUCGAGCGGCGAACGGGUGAGUAACGCGUGGUAUGACCUGCCCUUCAGCGGGGAAUAACCCGGGGAAACUCGGGCUAAUACCGCAUACGACCGCGAGGUGAAAGGGGGCCGCAAGGCUCCUACUGAAGGAGGGGUCCGCGUCCGAUUAGCUAGUUGGUAGGGUAAUGGCCUACCAAGGCGACGAUCGGUAGCCGGCCUGAGAGGGUGAUCGGCCACACUGGAACUGAGACACGGUCCAGACUCCUACGGGAGGCAGCAGUGGGGAAUUUUGCGCAAUGGGCUAACGCCUGACGCAGCAACGCCGCGUGGAGGAUGAAGGUCUUUGGAUUGUAAACUCCUGUCAGCAGGGAAAAAGGGAAGGGACCUAAUACGUCUCUGACUUGAUUGUACCUGCAGAGGAAGCCCCGGCUAACUCUGUGCCAGCAGCCGCGGUAAUACAGAGGGGGCAAGCGUUAUUCGGAAUUAUUGGGCGUAAAGGGCGCGUAGGCGGCUUUGCAAGUGGCGGGUGAAAUCCCUCGGCUUAACCGAGGAACUGCCUGCCAGACUGCAUUGCUUGAGUCCGGGAGAGGUGAGUGGAAUUCCCAGUGUAGCGGUGAAAUGCGUAGAUAUUGGGAGGAACACCAGUGGCGAAGGCGGCUCACUGGACCGGAACUGACGCUGAGGCGCAAAAGCGUGGGGAGCAAACAGGAUUAGAUACCCUGGUAGUCCACGCCGUAAACGAUGAGUGCUUGGUGUAGCGGGUAUCGACCCCUGCUGUGCCGAAGUCAACACAUUAAGCAC
Molecule: ribosomal RNA, 798 nt
Filed under: uncultured Acidobacteriota bacterium
Lineage: Bacteria; Pseudomonadati; Acidobacteriota
Description: bacterial SSU rRNA
Rfam family: Bacterial small subunit ribosomal RNA
Source: RNAcentral